ACACAUUUGGAGGUGCUAGUUGAAAAAGCUUUCAGUCCCAUCUGUGAAGUGUAGUUAGAAUGGGAUUGCUGUAUAAAUCAAAAGGCUGUUUUUUGAGAGACAACAGCAUGUAUUAAGGAGAAUCAGAUUCCCUACAAUAGAGAGGCCAUUUAGCCCAUCGAGUCUGCACCGACUCUCCGAAAAUCAUCCCAUUCAGAUCCUUCCCCCUCUCUGUCGCCAUGGGAAAUGCAGGGCUAAUCUACCUAGCCUACACAUCCCUGAACAUUAUGGGAUGUUUAGUAUGGCUAUUCCACCUAACCUGCACAUUUUUGGACUGGAGGAGGAAACCCACACAACCGGGGAAAAUGUGAACUCCACGGGCAGUCGCCAGAGGCUGGAAUCGAAACUGGGUCUGGCCUGGAAAAAAAAAGGCACAUCCGUGCAAUUCUUGUGUUUAAGCAUUGCAAUAUUCAUAAGCUAGUCAGUCACUGGUUCGGAUGCUGAAUUUGGGUGGGGUUAAACUGCAUUGCAGAUCGUCUCCAACUACUGCCAACUCUCUCCCCCCAACCAGACGCUAAACAAACAGAUUGCAAUCUCUUCUCCCCCGCCGCCAUUUUUAGAAAUUUUAACCCAGGAAUUUAUACUGACUCCAUUGUCUGUAUUUUGAAUCUUAACGCCACAGAUUUUGCAAAGCUGUCCAUUUCACGAUGACCUCGUGUUGACGUUGGCUUUGUGUCCCACGCAUUACCGUCACUGACGUAUGCUGUUACUAUAGACAGGCAGGAGGCUGGAAGAACACAGCAAGACAGGCAGCACCAGGAGGCGAUAUUGACUGUCCGAAGUAAGAUAUUUCAGCGAAGAGACAAAAUAACUCAUCGACACCGGAUAUGCGGACGUAGUUUUAGGGCAUAAAGCUGAUUACAAGCUUCAAUCAUGUCUAUCAGCUGAUGGAAGGAGUGUAUGAAUCGAGAUGGAGGGGUCCAGACUCGACGGUAUUGUAUUGUAAACGUCUCCAGAGAAGUUUUUGUUUCCGUUUUUUUUCCCUCUCUACUCACCUUCUGGACGGAGCUCAGUCACAAAGUCAGCAACUGGAGACCCAGAGUGGAGACUUUGCUGGUCUGCCAUGAGGCGUUGGUGUGGCCCAGUCACAGCUCUAGCGGUUGACGGCAUUGUGGAAGCAGCUGGAGGCCCCGAGCGGAACUCUGGAAGCCUGUGGUGAGGUAGCCGGUGAGCCCAGAUGGCAGUUGGCGACAAGAAGGCAAGAAUGCAGAGACAUGGGGUUCAUUAGGUCAAGUCCAGUGUCGGGGGGAGGUUGAGCCCCGUGCAAGAGAGAGGGAGAUUGAGCCCUCUUGGCGAAAGCCCAGCAUGGAACAACUGCAGGCUUAUGGCUAAAGAAGUGCUGUAAUUUAGAAUGUUUAACUUUAUUUCUUGUUUACUACAUACUGACAAGAAUCUUAAUGUUGAACUUUAACUUGUUUCUUUAUUUUUCUAUCUUUACCUAAGAUUUUGUCCCUUUGUACCUGAGAUACCACCAUGAAUGGUGACAUUAUACAAUUUUCCCUGUACUCCUGUAUCCCUGUACUUGAGUAUACA
This is a long non-coding RNA of Chiloscyllium plagiosum (whitespotted bambooshark), 1572 nucleotides long. RefSeq lists it as uncharacterized. The record is from RefSeq and is a predicted model, not a curated record. Lineage: Eukaryota; Metazoa; Chordata; Chondrichthyes; Orectolobiformes; Hemiscylliidae.